GUGGGGAAUAUUGGACAAUGGGGGGAACCCUGAUCCAGCCAUGCCGCGUGUGUGAAGAAGGCCUUUUGGUUGUAAAGCACUUUAAGCGAGGAGGAGGCUACCGAGAUUAAUACUCUUGGAUAGUGGACGUUACUCGCAGAAUAAGCACCGGCUAACUCUGUGCCAGCAGCCGCGGUAAUACAGAGGGUGCAAGCGUUAAUCGGAUUUACUGGGCGUAUAGCGCGCGUAGGUGGCCAAUUAAGUCAAAUGUGAAAUCCCCGAGCUUAACUUGGGAAUUGCAUUCGAUACUGGUUGGCUAGAGUAUGGGAGAGGAUGGUAGAAUUCCAGGUGUAGCGGUGAAAUGCGUAGAGAUCUGGAGGAAUACCGAUGGCGAAGGCAGCCAUCUGGCCUAAUACUGACACUGAGGUGCGAAAGCAUGGGGAGCAAACAGGAUUAGAUACCCUAGUAGUCC
This 451-nucleotide ribosomal RNA is filed under the name uncultured bacterium. Its description in RNAcentral is "partial 16S ribosomal RNA". It matches the Rfam family "Bacterial small subunit ribosomal RNA", at positions 354 to 796 of the family's 1533-position model. The record is from RNAcentral.